Molecule: ribosomal RNA, 486 nt
Filed under: uncultured bacterium
Lineage: Bacteria
Description: partial 16S ribosomal RNA
Rfam family: Bacterial small subunit ribosomal RNA
Source: RNAcentral
GACGAACGCUGGCGGCGUGCUUAACACAUGCAAGUCGAACGGUGAUCCCAGGAGCUUGCUUCUGGGUGAGCAGUGGCGAACGGGUGAGUAACACGUGAGUAACCUGCCCCUGACUCUGGAAUAAGCGCUGGAAACGGCGUCUAAUACCGGAUACGAGACGCAACCGCAUGGUUAGUGACUGGAAAGUUUUUCGGUCUGGGAUGGACUCGCGGCCUAUCAGCUUGUUGGUGAGGUAAUGGCUCACCAAGGCGAUGACGGGUAGCCGGCCUGAGAGGGCGAUCGGCCACACUGGGACUGAGACACGGCCCAGACUCCUACGGGAGGCAGCAGUGGGGAAUAUUGCACAAUGGGCGAAAGCCUGAUGCAGCGACGCCGCGUGAGGGAUGACGGCCUUCGGGUUGUAAACCUCUUUCAGCAGGGAAGAAGCGCAAGUGACGGUACCUGCAGAAGAAGCACCGGCUAACUACGUGCCAGCAGCCGCAGUAA